Long non-coding RNA from Syzygium oleosum, 821 nucleotides. RefSeq lists it as uncharacterized. NCBI's taxonomy places the organism in Eukaryota, Viridiplantae, Streptophyta, Magnoliopsida, Myrtales, Myrtaceae. The record is from RefSeq and is a predicted model, not a curated record. The transcript has 3 exons.
GACUUCAAGUAGCUCUGAAGCUCCCAUCUGAGGUAAACCCUCCAAAGGAUGUUUCUGAAUUAUCUCCUAAGCACAAGCAAGAGUGGAACUGGGAUUUAUUGGAAACCAUCCUGAGACUGACAUAUCAGAAGAGAAUUUGUGGAGUGACCUUUUUCCGGACAAGGUUGAGGAUCGAUGGAACCAUACUCAAAAGGAGAGCUCCAGCUAAAUUAAUGCCAUCGAUUAUUCAUUUUCAUAUAGCAUAUGGGAGGAAGAAAAGUAUAUAGAGGUGGCUGCUACUAGAAGGAGAAGGGAGGAGCAGGAGCAAAAAGAUAGAAGUGAUCGACCUCAUGGAGCAUGGGAAGAAGUAUUUGAGUGUCAAAAAGGCUGAUAGGUUAAGAAAUGAUCUGCAUGAAAGGGAUGAACUGGAGCUUAAAAGAACUGGCCAGCCCCUUGGUAUCUAUGGACCUUACUUGGGAGAAGGAGAAUCUGGCCCUUUCUGCAUGUUUCUUCAAUCUAUCGUGGGAUUGGACCGAAGUUUAGCUGCAAAGAGUUAGAAGUUUAUAAUUGCAAAGCAUAUGAACCAUAGGGCUGAGAACUCCAUUUGCCAUUACCUAGAGCUUAGAUACUGAACACCAAAAUACCCUGGUCGAGGUGUUGUUGAUGUAUGCCUAUUGCGUUUCAGUUUUGGGGCAUAUGAGUGAAGUACCGAAUUCCUUGGAUUUGAUGCUUUACCUGGUGAUUGCAGUGAAUAAAGGGUUGAAGAAGACCUGGAGUUUAUUGACGCACCUUCUUGGCUUCCACUUCUUCAUAAUCCAUGUUACCGAGAUGCUUUGGGUGAC